CCCCCACCCCCAACCCAAAAAAGAAAAUAUGCAAUGUCAAUCGCCAUAUGCAAAUAAAUUUAACCCAAAAAGAUACCCAAGUGGUUUCCUUGACUGAUAGGAAUUUUUUUUAGCCUUUUUAUCAUAUUAUUUUCAUGAAAAAAAAAUCAAUGUAAAAUAUAUUUUAUUUAUGACAAAAUAUUUAAUAAUUAUUAUUAGUGGAAUGAUAAAAAAUUUGUGUUCAAAUUUUGUUUGAAGACAUCAUUUUUAAAAACUUGAAAAAGAUAAAAACACCAUCAUAAUAAAUAGAAAUUAAUAUUAGUUUUUAUUUGAAAAAAUAAAUAAAAUUUUUACCAAUUUAGCUAACGUUCACUUUAGAGAAAAGCUAUAUGACAAGUAUAAAUAUGUGACCAUUGUGUUCAUUAACAUGAUAGAUUGUUAGUUAGUGCUCCUAUUGAAGGAUGUUGACUGCAAGUAAAUGUAUAUAUACCAUUAUCUUUUUAUAUGGUGUUUCAUUACCGUUCUUUAUAAAAUUUCAUGUUUUUUUUUUAAUGCUAAAUACGCCUAUAAAAUCUUUCAACCAAAAUUUUGAAGCUAUACAUUUUGAAACUGUACAUUCAAUAAUUAUUUAUUGUAAUAGAAAUAACUUUUUAAAAUUUAUUUAAGAAUUACUGAUAAGUCUUCGCCAAAAUUCUUAAUAAAAACCAUU
RNAcentral lists this long non-coding RNA (688 nucleotides) under Gossypium barbadense (sea-island cotton). RNAcentral describes it as "long non-coding RNA (GBAR_LNC008900)". Lineage: Eukaryota; Viridiplantae; Streptophyta; Magnoliopsida; Malvales; Malvaceae. The record is from RNAcentral.